RNAcentral lists this ribosomal RNA (447 nucleotides) under uncultured bacterium. RNAcentral's name for it is "partial 16S ribosomal RNA". It matches the Rfam family "Bacterial small subunit ribosomal RNA", at positions 29 to 523 of the family's 1533-position model. The record is from RNAcentral.
AGCGAACGCUGGCGGCAGGCCUAACACAUGCAAGUCGAGCGCCCAGCAAUGGGAGCGGCAGACGGGUGAGUAACGCGUGGGGAUCUGCCCGAUGGUACGGAAUAAUUUCGGGAAACUGGGACUAAUACCGUAUGUGCCCGCAAGGGGAAAGAUUUAUCGCCAUCGGAUGAACCCGCGUCGGAUUAGCUAGUUGGUGUGGUAAAGGCGCACCAAGGCGACGAUCCGUAGCUGGUCUGAGAGGAUGAUCAGCCACACUGGGACUGAGACACGGCCCAGACUCCUACGGGAGGCAGCAGUGGGGAAUAUUGGACAAUGGGCGCAAGCCUGAUCCAGCCAUGCCGCGUGUGUGAUGAAGGCCUUAGGGUUGUAAAGCACUUUCACCGGUGAAGAUAAUGACGGUAACCGGAGAAGAAGCCCCGGCUAACUUCGUGCCAGCCGCCGCAGUAA